UUUUUUUUUUUUUUUUUUUUUUUCCUUCAGACUAUACGAGAUAAUCAGGCAGGAGACUGCUAGGAGGAUUUCUCAGGUAUCUCAGUUUUUUCUUGGGGUUAGAUCUGACUGCAUAGCAAAUUACUAUAGAAGUUGUAAGCCAAGGCUUCUUGUUUUCAUCAUAUUUGCUUGCUGUACUUUUCCUGGCUCUUCAUUCACCAUUUGGAAAUUGUACAAGAUAGUGAUCCUGCCCAGACUUCAAAACUUUUGAAGUGCUGCUGUCUAACACUAUUUCAUCUGUGUUCAGCAUUUACAGAAGCACUGUUCAUUGCCAGACAUGUCCUGGUUAGGUGCUGUGUAGUGCAGACAUAAGUUAGAAUAGGAUGGAGGAGAUAAUUUAGGUGAAGUUCUCCCACACUUGAAAUAGGCUGGAUUCAUCACUACUGCAUGUACUUUUUGUCAAGUCUUACUCCUGCCAAACAAGCCUGAUUCAUCUCCUCCUGCACUGGCUGUUUAUAGAACUCUUGUUUCAAGUAAACUGGGCCAUGGCCCUAUAACUGAUGCUUGCAUUGACAUAGGAGCAUGUCUGUGGUGUCAGUAGCAAUUUCACACUGUGGUGACAUUGCUUGUAGUAAAGAAAAGAUUUAGUAGUAGAUUAAAACCUCAUUACUGCAAGCAAAGUGGAACACUGUUCAUUAAUUCCUACACUUAGGAGAAUGAGGAUGUAACUGCUGUAAUUAAGCUGUUGAUUAAGAAACUGUUUGCACGGUUUGUUGUGGAUGUCUAUUCCAACUACAGAUGUGUAGCUGACCACUGUAAACACUAAUUUCACUGCUGAUUGAAAUGGCUGUUAGGGAGGUUUCUCUGUUUUCUCCCAGUUGGUGUCCACUGCAAGUAGCUGAACAGUGAGCACUGCCAGAAUUAAUCUGGUUGUGUGUGUCAGGCAGGCAGCAGGUAAGAAUGUGUUCUCUUUGCCCAUCAUCUUUUCAAAUUUCUGAAGUUAAUUACAAGUUAGGACAGAACUUGACCUACAACAUCUUGUACUGGACAAAUUAAUAAAGAAGGGUACAUCCUGGCCUAGCCCAAAUCUUUUGUGCUUUUGCAAGGUUUUAGUCUUUGGAAUUGUUCUGCUGUCUGCAACGUCACAGGACCUUCCAAAGCUUUCAAAGUGCCCAGAGAAGCUGUGGAUGCCCCAUCCCUGGAAGUCUGAUUGGACAGGGCUUUGAGCAGCCUUGUCUCAUGAAAGGUGUCCUUGCCCACUGCAGGGGGGUUGGAACAAGAUGAUCUUUAAGGUCCCUUCCAACCAAAGCUGUUACAUGAUUCUAUGAAAAAUCAAAAUUCAUGGCUUUCUCAGGGUUGGGAAAUGAUACCAUCGUCACAUCGCUUUUAUGUCCCAAAUACAGCUUUGCUGUCUCAGGUGUCAAUCUUAAGCACGUGGUUUCCUUGAAGAUAGAACAAUUAAAAAGAAUCCUUUGUAUGCCCUGGAGUAUUUUCCUGGAAUUACUAUUUGCCUCAUAACCCCAGGGAUUUUAUUUUUGGAAGGCCAUGGGAUAAAAAAUAAUUAGCUAGAUCUAGUUCCCCCCCGCUUUUUAUCCUCUGUGAUGCAUCACAAACCAAAUCUUAUGUGCAUUGAACCAUACCAGCUUAAUAGGCUUUCAAACAGCUCCAAAAUGUCCCAAACCUAAGGUGUUUGAGACCAAUUUUUCUCUUAAAACUCAUAGUAGGAUCCUUUUAAUGCUGUUCUUCUUGGAACUUAAAUGUUCACC
This is a long non-coding RNA of Taeniopygia guttata (zebra finch), 1745 nucleotides long. The record is from Ensembl. Lineage: Eukaryota; Metazoa; Chordata; Aves; Passeriformes; Estrildidae.